GUCUAGCUUAGUUGGUAAAAUACAAGGCUUUUAACCUCGUGGUCGUGGGUUUGAGCCCCACAGUGGACG
RNAcentral lists this transfer RNA (69 nucleotides) under Zea mays. It matches the Rfam family "tRNA". Rfam says of the family: Transfer RNA (tRNA) molecules are approximately 80 nucleotides in length. The record is from Rfam by way of RNAcentral. Lineage: Eukaryota; Viridiplantae; Streptophyta; Magnoliopsida; Poales; Poaceae.